This 426-nucleotide non-coding RNA is filed under the name Pongo abelii (Sumatran orangutan). The record is from RNAcentral. Lineage: Eukaryota; Metazoa; Chordata; Mammalia; Primates; Hominidae.
CCUGCGGCGCGCGCUGCCAGCCCGAGGGCCCCGCCGUCCAGGGGUCCUCUGACAUCUCACACAUGCGGACUGAAGCUGCGAGGAGCGGGAACCUGGCCAGGGUCACGGACGGGAGGGUCCGGACUCGAGUUCUCUGGGCCCCAGCCCCCGCUCCGCCCCCAGCGAAUCCAAGGUCUCCUGUAGGGAAGGGCCGUCCACUCUCCCCAUCCCUUACUGGCUGCAUCCACUGAAGCCCAGACCUGCUGCCUGCAGGACCUCACCCAGGCACCAGGUCGUGCCUGGCGCCUCCUUGAUGCCAGGCCCUGGGGAGACCCGUGGCCACAAAACACAUGUUCUCCCUAGAGGUGGACAGCACGCCCCUCUCUUACGAAGAAGCUGUCGUUCUUUCUUCUUUGCCCGUCCCUCCGCCCACCGACCCAUCUCUGC